UCCUUGGUCAACAUUGGAAGUGAACAAGAUUUCUGCACAGAGAUUUUUCUUGGACAAGAGUGCAACAUUAACUGUGGAUAUGAACUUUACUUUCAAAUGAACAUUGGAAGUGAACAAGAUUUCUGCACAGAGAGUGCAACCAGCCACAUUAGCUGCU
RNAcentral lists this long non-coding RNA (157 nucleotides) under Dendronephthya gigantea. RNAcentral describes it as "uncharacterized LOC114519574, transcript variant X1". Lineage: Eukaryota; Metazoa; Cnidaria; Anthozoa; Malacalcyonacea; Nephtheidae. The record is from RNAcentral.